GGCACUUGCAUGCUUUUGGGGUACAUACAGUACCGGGGUCACACGUCAGGUGCGCAGAUGCUGCCGGCUGGCCGCGACGGCAUGGUAAGGCACAGAGCACCUCGCGCCUCCCAACCACGCUCGCACACGCAGACGCUCACACCGCGCCCCAGCCCACAGCACCCAUCCCCUGUGCACUUCACCACUGCUCGAGCCUCACCUGGCCAGCUCCAGCCCGUCCGCCAGCGCGUCGUUGCGGAUCUUGAGCGUGUCAAUUUUGCGAGCCCACAGCCGCGCCUUCCAUGCCUCCGUGCGGCCCGACAGGCAGAUGGUCAGCUGCGCCUGCGCCUCGUGCCGCUGCCGGUCCGACCAGGCCGCCUGGUCCUGGUGUGCGGUCAUGCGGCCGGUCAGGUUCGCCACCUCCUGCUUCUGCCGCCGCACCUCCUUCUCCAGCUCGAUGCGGAUGAGCUCAGAGCGGUUGAGUGCGUUGCGAGCCAGCGACUCCUUGGCCCUGUGCGUGCAUGCGUGUGGGUGUACAUGUGUGUGUUGGCAGCCAAUAACAGCAGCUUUGGCCAGGGGCCGCGCUAGCCCACCUGCACGCACCAAGUCACACCGACAGCAGAGCACCCGAACCACACACACACACACACACACACACACACACACACACACACACACACACACACACACACACACACACACACACACACACGCCUUCACGGCGGCCUGUACUGCUUGUGCACAUCAGCAUGCGCACGUGCCUGGAGUGGUCCAGCUCCAGGUGCAGUUUGCCGAUGAGCGCGGCCUUGUCGCUCUUGCCGCUCAUGUCACGCAGCGCCGCCUUGAGGUUGGUGAUCUCGGCCAGGAAGCGAAGCCGGUCGCGGCCGGCGGCCUCGGCACGCCGCUCCGCCUCCUGCGCAUGAUACCGCGGUGCCAUGGACAAAGGGGGAUUGGCAUGUGAGGUGCUCGGCCUAGACGUUCCCACAUGCAGUGGCGCUGGUUGUUAUCCGUGGUUGAAUUGAUAAACCACAGUGCACAGCAGCACCAACAGCGCACAGCCACGAUAGACAGCCUCUUGCAGCCGCCGCCGUCGCACCUCGGCUUUGAACACCAGGUCGGCAUGGUUGCGCUGCACGUCUGCCGCCGCCUUCUCCGCCUCGUGCAGCCGCCGCGUCAUCUCGUCCACCUCGCCCUUGGUCUUGGCGCCCACCAGCCGCCGCUCCAGCGCGGUCGCCGUCUGCCGCGCCAGCUCCAGCUCCGCCGCGUUCUGCGCCAGCCGCUGCUCCAGCUCUUUGCCGUGCUCCUGCGCAAGCAAACAAGUCAUGCGAAUUGGUGAGUUGGGGACCCCUUGGUCCGCGUGCUAUGCCUGUCAUGACCCUUAGUCCUGUAUGCUAUGCCCCUUGAGCUUAUGCAUGUUGGCUAGUUGGAGCAGGCAAUUCCGCUUCGCAGAAGGGUAUGACACAGCCGAGAACGCGGCGGCUGUGUCUAUGAGCAGCAACCCACAUGCAUGUCCGCCAGGCUCUUCUGUGCGCGGUCGCGCUCACGCUCCACCAGCUCCGCCCGCCGCAACGCCGCCUCCUCCUGCACCCGCGCCGACGCCAGCUCCUGGCCCAGCACCGGGUCAAUGGACGCCGGCUGCUGCGGCCCGCUGCCGGGAAGCUGGCUGCCGUAGCCGCCCAUGCCGCCCAGGCCCGCGGAGGUCUGCCGCGACGGCGGCUUGGCGGCGACUGCCUGCGCCUUGCCGUCGGCGUCCUUGGCGGGUGCCGUGUCGGAGGCGGGCGGCGGGUUCGCCUGAAUGAGCAACUCCGCCUGGUGCAGCUUGGCCCUGUAGUGGUGGGUUCGCACGGGAUAGCACACGCUCAGGAAGCCCUGUUUCCUCCAUGCUUCCCUGCCAAGCGUCCCGCAAUGCGGUAGUGGAAAAGACUGAUGGCAACAGGAAAGGUUGGCCCACAACUCACUUGAGCUCUGCCGCGGCGUUGGCGGCCUGGUCGUAGCGCACCAUCCACUCGUUCACCUCGUCGCGCAGGCGCAGCAGCUCCUCCUGCUGCGGCGCCACCACCGCGUCCGCCGCCGCCUCCAGAAGCUUGCGGAACUCGUGCUGCAGCCGGCUGUGCUUGGCCACCAGCGAGUGGUACACCUGUACCGAUGUGUCGUGCGUAAUGUAUGAGCGUUAGGCAAGCAUUAGAAGAGGGAGAGAUAGAGUGGGUACGUGCGUGUGUGUGUGGUGAUAUGGCAGCUCGCAACGUCAGCCCGUGGUAGCAUGUCACCGCCGCCGUAACCCUUCCAUGCUCAAGCACUACUUCCCUCUCUGGCACCCGCCCUCCUCUCACCGUGAGCCCCACUGACGCCUCCAGCUCCCUAAACAGCUGCUCCAGUCGCCGCUUGGUCUGAUCGCCGCUCUGCUCCAGCCAACGGAUGCGGCCGCGCGCGGUGCUGCUGACGUCGCGCACCUCCUCCUCAAGCUCCGUCACGCGCGCCACCAGCGCCUUCUCGCCCGACACGCUGGCCUCCAGCUCACGAGCUAGCUUGGCUUGCUUGAUCUGUGAGGGUUGCCACACAUGCGAAGACAUGAAAACUUGUGUGUAGAGCAUGGCCGCGCGUAAAGCCAGGCAAGGGCUGCAGCGUCAGUUCCACCUGCCGCCGCCUCCCCCCCGAGCUCGCAACCACCAACCCCCCAACCCCGCCGCACCUGUACCACGGCCAUGCGGCGCACUGUGUCCAGGUACUCCUUCUCGACCUCGCUCAUGUCGCGGCUCUUGGACAACGUGUCCAGCGCCGUCUGCAGCUCGCGCGUGGCGAUCUUGUAGGCGUCCGCGUCCGCCUGCGCCUUACGGCCCUGUUUGGUGCAGGGCAAUGCGGAGGCAAGGACAAAAGCAAGCCGUCAGCGAGCCGUGCAAACGGUGCCGAGUCCAACCCAGCUCGCCUUGACAUCUGCAACCGGCAUCUUAGCACCUAGGCGCUUACCUUCUUCUCCAGUGUGGACUUCUCCACCUUCCAUGCCGUCUGCGCGCCUGCAUAUUCCCGGUACAGCAGCUUGACCUGCGGAGGAGGAGGCAGGCGCAGCCUCCCCGUCAGCGCCAGCCCUGGAACAAACCGGCUUCAAGCUCCGCCGCAAAGCACCGCACACGCUCCGGCUCCAACAGCGUAACCCGCACCGCCUCGACACUGGCGCGCCGGCAGUCCGCUACCGGCACCGGCGCCGGCCUACCUGAUCGCUGAAGGUCUGCAUCUUGCUGUGGUAGCGCAGGCUGGUGUCGUGCAGCUCCGCCGCCUCCUUCUCGCGGCUGGCCAGCUCCUCCAGGCAGCCGAUGAGCUGGUCCUUCAGCCCCGUCACCUCCAGCUGCAGGUCCUCAUACUCGGCCAUGGUCACGUACUCUGCGCAUGCAUAUGUGUGUGCAUGUGUGGGCAUGUGUGGGAGUGUGUGUGUGUGUGUGUUUGUGUGUGCACAUUGGGUGCGAGGGUACGGCGCGAAACAGGGUGACGGCAUGCGUGUGUUGUGUGUCAAGACUGCGCCGGAUAGACAUGCCGUUGACAGGAACCCUGUGUUGCAGAUACCGGGUUGGCUUUGGGAAAGCUGGCGCUUACCCGACUUGCGGUCGCCCAUAGUCAUGCCGAUCUUCUUCUCUAGCUCCGCCUUCUGGUCCAUCAGCUGCGUGAUGCGCACGUCCUUCUUCGACACGUCCACCUGCAGGUCCACAACCUGUGUACAAGGGGUGAAAGGGGCGGUGCGGGCCAGAGUGUGCCGCAACCGCAACCGCAGGUUUAACACGAUCAAACUGUGCUGGUAACAAGCGCAGGCUAGCCUCAACGCCAGCGCCACGUCCCGACGCCGCCCAUAUCCAACCAACCACCCAGCGCCCCUUGCCCCCUCCGCUCCCCUGCCCUCCGGGCCCCCUGCUGCGGCGCCAGCGCACCUCCCGCGCCAGCUCCUUCAGCUUCUCCCGCAGCUCGUCCGCGAUGGCGUCCGCCAAAUAGCUGGCGUCGCCCGGCACCAGCUGCACCGCACCCGGGCCGCCCAGCCGCGCGCCGGGGCUCAUCGGCCGGCCGUUGGCACCGGGGCUGCGUGGCGAGGCAGGGCCGCCGGGGCUGGGCGGCUGCUGCUGCACGGGCGGCCCCACCAGCGACGCGGGGUCCUUCAGCAGCGCCACCAGCACCUUGUCGGCGUCGGACAGCUCGGCGGCCACGUUCUCGGCGUAGCGGCCAUAGUCCUCAUCCUUGACGUUGCGGUGCUCAACUGCGGAACCGGAGAAGGUUAGGCAAGGCUGAAGGCAUUUGCCACGUGCAGUUAAUGAUUUGGGCUCAUACGCCGCAGCAUGACGACGUGUUUCAACUUAGGCGAAGCUAUGACCAUCCUCUGCCCACACACGCCGACCCAGGCAGCGCGCGCACGCAGCCGCCCACGCCACUUACACAGCGACUGGCUCAUCUGGCGCAGGCGCUUCAUGCAGGCGGCCAGCACCUUGCGCACCGCCUCGAUCUCCUUGGCCUUGAUGGCCGGCAUGGGCCCAUAGCCCGCGCCACCGCCGCCGCCCAUCAGCGCCGCGCCCUCGCCAGGGCCCAGGUAGCCGUCGGCCAUAGCCGACUGUAGGGAGGGUGGGCCGGAGCGACCCAUGCAGUGUGCGUAAGCGGGUGAAAAAGACAAAGAAAAGGCGUAGCAAGGAUGAGGCUGCAAGCCCGCGCCCAUUGCCCAAGACCUGCCUGCAUGGCGGUCUGGAAGGUGCCCAGGCCGGUGGGGUCGAACUCGCUGAGCGCCGGCCGCAUGCUGGGCGGGAUGUCGGCGUAGGCCAUCACCUCCGCCAGCCGCACCUCCAGGAACUCAACCUGCAAGUGCGCAUGUGUGGUGGGGCGUUGCUGUGCCUGUUCAUCCCACAAAACUCCGCGCUGGGCUGUUUGGUUAGUUUGGGCUAGUAUCUGCAAACCCCCCAUUCCCUUGAUGCCCUGACACAGACACAGAGCCGCUUCGCCCAUACACGAGUACAAAAACCGGCACGCCUCACCCGCUGCUGCAUCUGCUCCACCACGCGCGCCUCCUCCACUCGGUUGUUCUUCAGGUCAUCGGCGUACUGCUCCAGCAGCAGCAGCUUCUCGUUGGUCAGCCCCAUCUCCAGCGCGUGCUGGCCGUGGUACUUGGCGCGGAACUUCAUCUCCAUGCGCAGCUUGCGCCGCUCCUCCUCCAGGUCAGCGACCUGUGCACAAAGAGUCAAGGGGUUUUCAGGGAUGUCGCGCGUGGCAGUGCUGGGUGAGGAGCCGGAAGAGAACACACAUGCGUCCAGUGCACCCGUCAACCCCUGCAUUCCGCUGACCUCCUUGGCACCAGCUCGGCCUUACACACAACUCCAGCCCAGCCACAUCCCUCGCCGCCAGGGCCCCUUCGCCCCCCUCCCCCGCCAGGACCUCACCUGUCGCUCGAGCAGCGCGUUGAGCGCCCUCAGCUGCGCGAUGGUGGCCUCCUUCUGCAUCUUGAUGUCCUUGAUGUCCACCUUGUCGCCCUCGCCCAGCCCCGCGCGCUGCCGCAGCAUGGCGUUCUCGUCGUACAGGUCCUCAACCUUGGCCGCCUGCUUGUUCAGCUGCACGAUCAGGUCGCGCGUGCGCCGCUCCUCCUUGGCCAGCGCGCUCUUGAGCUGCCGGAUCUCCUCCACAGACUGCGGGAGCAGGAGCGAGAAGGCAAACGCAGUGGGCGUGAGAGGCAAGGGCACCCGGCACAGUGUGUUGGCGUGCUGACGUGUUGGGUGUGAUCAUGCUCCGUUUCGGCAGACAUCAAACCAACCGCGCAUGCGGCAUGCACCCUGCUGCCUUUCGACCAUACUUUAUAAGGCCCGCAAAGGAGUGCGCACACGCGUCCUGCCCUGUGGCACACACACCUGCGGCAGUCCGUACACGCCCUGCUCGUACAGCUUGUUGCGCUCCACCGCGUCCCGCAGCUCGCCCUCCAGCUCCGCCAUUGCGUCGCGCGUGUCCUCCGCGUCCUCAUCCUGCUGCUCCAGCUUGCCCUGCAGGAAGUCCACUCGCCGCUGCAGCCGCGCCACCUCCUCCGCCUGCCUCGCCAGCGCCCUGUCCACCUCCUUGCUCACGUCGUUCUCCAGCUGCUCGUACGCCUCCAGCAGCAGGAUCUGGCAGGGGCACAGGCGUGGUGGUGGGGGUUCCCGGAGCCGGGUGUUUCUUGCUGUUAUCAGGGCUACGCCAGGUGGCGUGUUCGCAUGCAUGUCCAGCACAACGCUUUCAGUUCGAGCGCACCAAGCCGAAUGCAGGUUAAAAUGAUCGGGGGAGGACAACUAUGGCCUCACCUCUUUCUCACGGGCGUCGUUCAGGUCACGGCGCAGCUCCGCAACGUCAGCCGCGCUGGCGCCGCCGGGGCCGCCUCCAUAUCCACCGCCGUCACCGCCAUCGCCCUUGCGUGUUUUGAGCUCGCGCCGCAGCGCCUCGAUUUGCGCCAUGAGACCAGCUUUCUCGUCCUCCCAAGAGCUACACACAAACACAAGCGGGAUCCACGCAAACGCAAUGAGCUCCUGCCAUAAUUGCCCUCGCAUGCUUCAAAGCCUUCCCCGCCGGACGCUCCACCACCCCAACCGCCUUCCCACCUGUACUGGCGCUUGAAGCGGUCCUCGAACUCAUCCAGAAGAUUCAUUUUGUCCUGCAGCUCGGCGCGCAGCUCAUCCUGGAUGGACAGCAGGUUGUCCUUGUCGUUGGCCACCUCCUCCACACGCGUCUCCAGCACCACAUUCUUGCUCAGCAGCUCCUGGUACUGCGUGUUCAGCUCCACGAUCUUCUCAGACACCUGCGCGGGACAGGAGCGGCGAGGGAGACAGGGUGAGCGGAAAGAUGCAAGGACAGGGCUGGGACGGUGCAGCCCCGUUGUGCCACCUUGCGAUGGCCGUUGCAGGGGCGGCCGGGUGGCCGAAUCACGCACACCGCGGCCGUCCCAUCGCGCCCGCGAUCCUGCCUCCACCGUAUGCAUGCACAGCCGCCGGCAGUCCAGGCAGCCGGCGCACCAGGCACAGUGCCACAGCCACCCAGGCACGCACCUCCAGGUUCUCCCCCUUGACGUCUUGCAGCUCCUUGCGCAGCUCCGUGUUCGCCACCUCCAGCGCCCGGUUGUCCUUUGUCAGGCGCUCGAUCUUCCACUCGCUCUGCUGCUUAGUGUCCUGCAGCUGCGCCUCCGCCCGCACGCGGUCGAACUCCUGGCUCAGCGAGCGGUAGCGCUGCUGCAGCUCCUUGUAGUCGUCGCGCUGGCGGUCGUGGCGCUCCUGCACGUCGCCCAGCCGCGUCUGCAGCCGCAGCAGGUCCUUCUCGCGCUCCUUGAUGCUGCGUGGCGGAAAGGGCGGGCAGGAGGUGUGCUGAGGUGGCCGAGGUCACGGCACGUCUGGGCGCUGGGCCGCUGGCACAGUUAGGUAAGUGGUGAGCAUGGUCGUCAUGAAGCGAGGCUUCAAUACCCGGACUGCCCCGCCCUUCGCACGACCACGACACAUCCGGCAACCCACUGGAUAGUCCACCUCAGUAAUGUGCACCACGCCCAUUUCCCCCGCCCUACCGCCCCCCAGCCCCACCUGUCCUCCAGCUCCUGGUUGCGGCCCUGAAACUCCUUCUCCACCUCCCGCAGCCGGGCGUUCUCCUCCUCCAGUUCGUCCAGCUGGUCCAGCAGGUCCUGGGGUGGUGGGGGCGGAGGAGGAGAUUAGGAGGAGGGCGAAUCACGGCGUGACAGCCGGGCACGGUCACUUGGCUUGAGAUGACACGCCACACGCUGCCUCAACAACAGCACGCAGGACCUAGUGCCCAGCCGCAGUGUGUAGGUGGGACAAUCGCACACCAGGCGUUGCUGCCGACACGCACCUCGUUGCGCCGCUUGAGCUCGCCCAAAUCGCCGCCGCCCGCCAGCUCAUCACGCUCGCGCAUUUCCCGCAAGCGGUUGUUUUCCUCGCGGAGCUUGCGAAUCUCAUUGUUCUGCGCAGUGAAACGGCGCCGCGUCAGGGACAGAGCAACGCCCGCAGCAUCUGCUGCCGCGCAUGUCCUGUCUCCUCUCCAAUGGACCGUCAGAGCAACCCAUCUUGCACAGUUUCCAUCUGUAGAGGUGCGUGUGCCUCCUAUUCCCCGGUUGCCCAGUUGCCUCCACGCGUCCCGUGCCAAGGCCACACGCUGCGGCCAGGCCCCGUCACGAUGCCAGCAGUGCCCAUUGUACCUGUCCCUAUGCAUCCCUGCUCACUCUCCGGCCCUGACUCCAACCAGCCUGCAGCACAGCCACCCUGCCUUGCCUGCAGCUCAUUGAAGUCCGCCGUCAACUCCUCAUUCUCUGAGAACUGCACGUCCAGCGCCGCUUGCAGGAUCCGCACCACCCGCAGCAGCGUGUCCACUGACUGCUGCGGCGGUGCAUUGGGGUCCACCAGCACCUGGCCCCCCUCCAGCUCGCGGGCCGCUUGGAUGACACGGUCCACAUCCGCCUCGUUGAGUGUGAAACCCUGCAGGCAAAUGCCGUUGAAGAGGUCACAGCCAGCCACCUCGCGUGCUGGCACACCCUCCACCGCCGGCGCAGGGUGCUCAGGCCCCAGCACCGCGGGGCCCUCAGCGCCUAAGCCCCACCUUGGCGACGGCCUCAGCCGACGGGGCGACGCGCAGUGUGAGCUCAUCGAGCUCCGCCCGGCCAAGCACAGUGGGCUUCGGUCGGAACUCAUAGUCGCCCUCAGCCAUUUGUGCUGACUAUCCAAGCGAGGCUCACUGCUCCAUGACUAUGGUAUUGAGGCUAGCCUCAACAGGGAGCCGCCCGCUGUGGCAGAAGAAGUGGGCUGUCGACUAGUCGCUAGGGAUUGUUGCCCGGCUGUUCGAGCAGUGAGGAGUAGUUCAGUAGCAGCAAACGGGUCAAAUGUGACAGUAAAAUGCUAUUGUUGGCUCGAGGGCUCGCUACCGCUAUGCCCAGCGACAGCUUCGCGCAGGUGAACGACUUUGCUAACGACGCUCACUUUCAAUUUAGUCUCAUGACGCUUCGGUAGGCAACGCCAGCCUACGUGGUUGCUGCCAGGCGAGAGGCCCAUUCCCUGCCAUUCUCUCUCGACAGCUCGAAUGAGGACCGGAACGAGCACCGAGUGUGCGACUGUGCUGUUAUAGCCCUUUAAUGAUUCCAUGUGUUAUGACGUAAAUUGAAAAUAAGAUAACAGUCGUUAGUGACGCAAACCUUGCUUCUUCGAAGGACCCCGUUUCCCAACUUGCCGAAUGAUUGCUAGUCUGUAAAUUUGUGCACAUAGUGCGCGGCAGAUUGCGCUUAGGCAAAUGUCGAACAUAACUGCAAGGCAGACGCUGACCCGCGAUGUCCAAAGCGUCGACGCGCUCGUUCGGCAAGCAUGCAAGGCGGAGGCGAAUGCGACAUUACUGCUGUAAGCUUUAGCUCGCAAGCCGGCUGAUGCUGGGACUGGACCUCACCUACUUGGAUGUCACGCUGUGUUCGUGUAUGCGCAGAGGCACUGGGCUGCUAAAUCUGACGGCCGUCGACGACAAGGACACGGUGGUUGGGUACCUAAGCCUGUGAGAUAUCGCUGCAAGGAAUCGGGAGGAUGUAGGGCCGUGGUGGGGCAUACCGCGGUGGGCGGGUUAGGGCUGAUACAGCGUGAGCAUGCAGCACCGGCCAUGCAUCAGCUUGCCCCUGGCAGCUGCACAAAGACCGUUGCGGACAGCGUGGUGAAGUGCCUGCGUCGAUGCACCACUUGCACCGCCCUCCACCUGUACCGAACUGACGACCGCUUCUACUCUCCGCAGGGAUGACGUGUCAUGCACGCGGCUGGGGUCAGGCGGGCCGGGCGCGGAUACCUGGGUACAACAGGCGGCGGCCUCCCGCUUCAAACUGGGCAGCACAGCCUUCGUGCGUGUGUGCGCCACCGCGCACCUGUCGGAGAUUGAGGCGUCGGCGGCGCUGCUGCGGACCGCCUUCCUGCACAUGCCCUCGCUGCAGACGCUGCUCAUGGUGGCGGGCGGCGAGCUGUCGUUCACAGAGCCAGGUGGGAGGCUAGGCGGCUGGCGGCAGUGAGGGCUGGCGGCAGAGGAGCUGGCUACAAGGGAGGCCUGGGGGUGCCAUGGCGCCGUGUAAAGGGCAUGCGGCAUGCGUGCAGAGGCUAGGGGGCUGGGCCGUGAGACUGGACUGGCCAGUUUGUGCUAUGGGACCGCAACCGGUCCAGUUUUUGCCGCCAACUUAGCCUACACCGUACAUCCACGCACCUUGCCCGUCUUCUCACCCACGCCUAAGUAAGCACGCCCCGGGCCCCCUGCUCCCCCCCAAAGGCUUGGCGGCGGUGUUCAGCCGCGUGGGCGCGCACAAGGAGAGCGGCGCGGUGCUAUACGAGGCGGGCCGCGACGCGGUGGUGCCGCCGCUGGCCAUCCGGCCCGCCCGCGUGGAGGACCACGACGACAUGCUGCCCAUCCUGCAGCGCUGCGAGGUGGCCUUCCCGGCGCUGGCCAAGCUACCGGAGGCCAGCCGCCCGCACGAGCCGUUUGCGCUGACGCGCGUGGUGGCGGGGCAGGACGAGCGCAACCGGGUGCUGGUGGCUGAGGCGGAGGGGCGGCUGGUGGGCUUCAUCGUCAUGACCAGCGACGUGGACACGGGCAGCCUGGCGGAGACGUUCGACCUGCACGCGUACGACAACUUCUUGCCGCCCGAGGUGUACGAGCAGCAGUACGAGGCGGCGCGCGACAGCGUGCGCGGCCAGAAGCUGGCGAUGCUACGGCACCAGCGGCAGCAGGAGAAGGAGGCGGAGGGCGAGGGUGCUGGAGAGGCCGGCGGCCAGGGCGGGAAUGGCGGCGUGUCGGCGGGUAUGCAGACGGACCCGGAGCAGGGCGAGGACGGGGAGGGAGCGGCCGAGGGCGAGGGCGAGGGCGCGGGAGAGGGUGCGGGAGAGGGCGGUGCCGCCGCUCCUGGCACUGGCGCCGACAAGGCGGACGACUCGGAGGAGGCGGAGGCGCAGCUGCUGGCGGCGGCGGAGCCGACGGAUGAGGAGACGCGCGCAGAGAUGCUGGCCAUGUUUGCCGGCCAGGCCCCGCCAGCCGACCCCACGCUGUUCGCCGUCACCAUGCUCUGCAUGGACCCCGCCUUUGAGGCGCAGGCCAUUGAGUUCCUCACGCCCGCCUUCGCCGCCUACACCGACAAGCUGUACUGCGUGGUCACGCUGCCGCACGACAGCCGCGAGCCGGCGCUCAUGGGCACCAUGACACGCGUGGCGCCAAACCCUGGCAGCCUCUUCCCCGAGGUGCUGUUCAUGUUCCACCGCCACGCGCUCAUCCCCGACUUCGCGGUGCGACUGGGCGAGCCCGGCGACCUGGACGCCGUCGCGUCGCUGGUUGCCGGCAUGCCCAACGCCGACGACAUCGUCGCCUCCUUCAGCGGCGCCGCCGCCGCCGGCAGCGCCGCCGUGGCGCUGUGCCAGGGCGAGCUGGUUGGCCUUGUCACCGUCAACCCGGAGGUGGACCUGGAGCUGCUACAGGCCAACUUCGGGCUCUCCAAUCACGUGGACCUCGGCUACCAGCCGCGCGAGCAGCACGGCGAGAUCGACAUGUACACCAUGAACCCCAUCUUCGUGCACCGGCACCGCACCUUGGUGGCCGCCACCAUGCGGCUGCUGGGCAAGACGGCGCUCUACUACGCGCUGCCGCCGGGGCAGCAGCCGCCCGACAUGCUGGAGGUGCUGGAGCAGGUGGCGCCGCGGCACCGCACCGCCAGCGACAAGCAGCUGCAGGCGGAGUUCGCGCUGUACGUGUUCACGCGGCAGGCGGCCUUCAAGAGGCGGCGGUCGGUCAACUCGCAGGUGCGUGUGAAGGCAGAGCGAGAAGGAGCGGGGAUGAGGAGCGGAGCGGCCAGGGGAAGGGAAGGGAAGGGUGGGGAAGGGAAGGGAAGGGAGGAGGGGGGGAAUGGAAAGGGGAGGAGGGGAGAGGAUGGAAUAGGAUUACGUUAUGGUGUGCCGGGUGUCAUGAAAGUCCGAAAUGACCAUAGCCGAAACAGCAAGGUUAACACCAUGCCAGUUCCCUCAGCCAUCGUGGGUCUGCUUCGCUUGGCCCCCAACCUCCUGCCUUACCCCACUCGCCCCUGGUUGCCCGCUCCCUCCAGAUCGUGGUGGUAGGUGCCAGCGAGUGCGGCCUGGCGGUGGUGGAGCGGCUGCUGCUGGACCCCGAGCUGCAGUUCAACUACCUCACACUGCUGGCGCCAGGCGGCAUCAAGGUGGGCGGCAUGGCCUGCCAGUUCACCGCCGGCGUCAUCGCGCGCCUGGGCCUGGAGGCGCGCGUGAUGCUGCUGGACGCCGAGGUCAUUGGCCUGGAUCGCGGAUCCAAGCUGCUGGAUCUCAGCGACGGCAGCCAGAUCUUCUACAACCAGCUGGUCCUAGCGGCGGGGCUGCAGGACCAGAGCCGCUACCGCUUUGCAGAGGCGGAUCCCGAGGUUGCGGGGCUGCUGGUGACAGAACUGGAGCUGGCGGCGGACUUCAGCAUGAACGAUGCCAUGGUGAUGAACAGCAUACUGGUGUAUGGGAAUGCGAUGGGCGCGUACCAUUCGCUGGCGGUGUUGGAGGCCAAGGGCGCGGGCGAGAAGACGCGGUUCGUGGCGCCGCCGGGGCAGCAGCCGCCCCUGGUGGGCGUGUUGCACGCGCUGGCGGGCGAGGCGGGCGUGGCGCUGCCCAGCCCCGAGCCGCGCGACCUGGCGGGGCUGUCGGUUGUGCAGCCGGUGGGGCCGGAGCUGCACGCCAGCGCCACGCUGAUAGACCCGGCUGACCCCGGGCCGCGGGAGGUGAGCGGGGCAAAGGAUGUGCGGGUGGUGUGCGCGAGCGGGGUAGGAGGAUGGGCGUGGGCAGCAUGAGAGGAUGCAGGGCCCAGACGCGUGGGGAUGCGGGGCAAAAUGUCAAGCGCCAGGGCGGCAUGUCGCGCUGCUCCUAUACCCCGUGCAGUCGCCUGCUUUCCACAGUCCUACCUUCUCACUCCUGCCAUUAUUCAUCCCCCAAGCUUGGCUUGGUUUGGUUUAGUUUCGGCUGGUAUUCACAGUCUUCCCCUGUUCCAUCCCUGCUCGCACCCCCUCUCCAACAGGAGCUGCCCGUGGACCUGGUGGUGGGCUGCGAGCCGCCCUCCGUGUCGCGCUCGCUCUUCACCUGCCUCAACGACGCCUCGCUGGUCUUCGACGGCCGCCUGGUCGUGGACGGCGCCUUCCGCACCAACGACCCAGCCAUAUACGCCGGCGGCUCCCUCGCCAAGCUAUCGCGGCGCUACGGCGGCACCCACCUGGAGCACUACAACAGUCGCGACGUCGGCUCCCGCCUCGCUUCCAGUCUUGUCUCCUUCUUCAACGCCGGACCAGACGAGCCGCAGCCCGCCGCGACGGCGGCGGCUCCGCCGCCGGCGCUGCACCGCGCGCGCGCGGUGGGCUGCUCGCUGCCCGGCGGGAACUACUUUGUUUACGCGGGCUGCCCCGCGGCGCUGCAGCGGCCCUCCACGGCGGCGCCGGAGGGCGGCUACGAGAUGAAGACGGCGUCGGAGCGCGGGCUCACGCGCAUCACGCUGGACGGCGAGGGGCGUGUGCACAGCCUGAUGUAUCUGGGGCGGGUGGCGGUGAACGCGCCGCGGCUGGGGUCGCUGGUAGGGCUGCAUGCCAACUACCUGAACAGCCUGGCGCCCAAGUACCAGGCCGGAGACAUCAAGUGCCUGCUGUCCUUCAUCACAGAGCCCUGGUGAGCCCUGGGGUUGCAGCGUGCCUUCCAUGUUUGUGGUGGGUUGGGUUCGGGAUGUCGGAUGGACUCUUGUGUGAAGGACGUGUGUGUGGUGGACAGCCCUCAGUGUAGCCCGGUUUCUGCACUUCUGCUCCUGCUCAAACCAUUCAUUGCCGCAUCACACCGCUACGCAGGAGCGAGUUGCUGUACAACGAGUCCUUCCCGGAGUUGCGUGAGACGCUGCUGGAGGUGGCGCUGGCGGAGCUGUCGGCUGGCGGGCGCGAGGUGGACGGCGGCAUGGUGGAGUGGGUGACGCACGCGCAGGACGCGGUGCUGGAGUUUGCGCGCGCACACGCGGCAGAGCUGCCUGGGUACACCAUGCCCUCUGCGGCUCGGACGUAGUUGUGGUGAAGUGGUGGUGCCAGUUUGCAGUGCGGCAGUGUGUCGGGCAUGGUGCGGGGACCGUCGGUUGCUUGGAGGGAAGUCUCAAGGCAGCUGGCAAGCAACUUGUUCGAGUGGGUUUGGUGCAGGGUGUUGGGAACUUAAGGCAGGUUACAAUUGGUACGUGGGUCAGGUGGUGACAUGGCACUGCAGAAGUGCCCCGUCUGGCUGGGCUUGGGGAUCGCAAACGCCAGUCAUGGACUGACUAUGAAGUGUAAGGCAUGCUACCCAUUUUGAUAAUGCGGUUGUCGACGCACCCGGCGCAGUGCGCUGCCGCUCGACCGCUGGAGGGGUCGCCGCAGCACCGUGCCUGCAGCACCACGCCGCGCCGCGCAUCAGGCACGCCGGGCGCAGUUGGGAGUUGAGGCAGGGCUCGUAUCUUGAUCUUUCUGGAAGAAAAUGGCCCCCAAUCCGACCCUCUGAGAGACACCGGGCCAGUGCUCGUAUCUUCCAUCUACGUUGUAGAAAUUUGCCCCAAAUCCGCCGAAGGCGGAGAAGUUUUUUGGGGUUUGGGGCCGCGCAUGUACGGAGUGUAGACGUUUUGGGCGGAUUUGGCAGUAUCUUAGACAGCAGGAAGCGUAGAUGUUCUGGGGGUUUGGGGGGCGUGCCCCUAGGGAAAAUGUUCUGGGCGCAGAUGGCGCGGGCGGGGUCAUCUACGCUGUGUAGACGCCGGGGGCCUAAAGCCAUCUACAAGAUACCGGUACGGUACUGCACCGGGUGCCGUCCGGCGAAGAGCUGAGCAAGUACAAAAAACUCCCUCGCCAGUGCUACAUGCUCAUCAAACAAUGCCUCAAAGCAAAAGUGGCUUACUCCCUCCCAGCCAUGGCAUACACGCAACACGAUAUCCGGGCACUGGACGCCCAAAUCGCGGGUAUCACCCGUCGGUGCGUCGGCCUACCACGCGACUGCGCCACCCGCGCCAUCCUUCUGCCUGCCGAGAUGGGGGGCCUAGGAAUAGGCUCGCUCCGCGAAGAGUAUGUACAACGCGCCUCCAGACUGCUCAUGAUUUCGCUGAACGAUAACGGCAGGCUAGGCGUAAUUACGCGCCGCCUCCUCCACCUCCAAGCGGCGCAGGCGGGGAGCGACCUCCCGCUGCACGACAUGCGAAGAGCGGGGAAAUUUUUUGUUACCCUGAAACAACUCACCCUCCUUCAAGACCACGACCUGCUGGCCAUGCUGCAAGGCAAGGAAUUUGCAGCCGCCCUACCAACACUAGUGUCCAAACUCCGAGCCGCUGAGGCGAGCACGCCCGCUUACCUGCGAGCUGACUGGAUCAGCCCCCUGACAAUAGACCUUGGCUUGAACCUGGCCGACCUGGUGGACGCAAAUACGGGACGGCACAUCAUUGACACUGUACAGCUGGAUCGGCGAUUUCCAAAAGGCCGGGUAAAAGACCGGCACAGGCGCGCCCUGAACCGCUUCACUCACGCCCUAUGUACCCUAUGCAAACUUGCAGACACACAACCUAAGCCGACCGCCGGUACUAAACCCCUCCCCCUGCACAACCGAGCCCUACCCAAUGGCGUCUCCAAGACAGACCUUCGGACAGCUGGCGACCUGCCUAAACCUAUACCCCAACGCACUCUCACCUCUCUACUGGAGCGCUGGCAGCAGUCGACACCUCCGAGGCCCUCCGGAGCCCCGGCGCGGCCGUCUUUGGAAGUCCUGCAGGCCAAACCAAAGCCAACGGCAAAGCAACGCCACAAUCACUUCAUCAAAUACGACACACGGACACGCAAUCCCGCAGUCGAGGCCAAUGACGCUGCUCUGCCCGGAUCCACCCUCCAUUACCCUUCCGACCCCACGAGGGACCUAACUUUCUAUAUGCACGCAGCACGGGAGUUUACCCCGCUCGUCAAACAAUGCAAAACCCUCGGCACCACACGAUGGACCGGCUCCUGGCGGAUCCCGCCAAGGCGGGUCCCAGCCCAUGCCGAGGCGGCGGGCCCCCACACCCACGCUACCCACGAACUACUUGCUUCCCGCCCCUACCAAGCAGUCGCUGCACCUGCUCACCAGCGGCUCGAGCUACCAGACGGGUGCCCCACCGCAGCCACAUCACCCACGCACACGAAACCGCCCAACCGCCGCAAAAGCAGCGCUCGCCCCACCCGCUGUCCACACACGCACCACGCAGCGCCGGCGAGGGGCCUCCCACCGGCAGCCGCGCAGAGAGGGAACCGCGCGACCGCGCAGCCAAGCGCCAGACCUGCAUGGCGCAAAGCCAGAGACACAGCAUUAAAUGGCGCACUGCCCCAGUCCGACGCUGGGAAGCUAGCGGCACAACACAUCACAGCCCACCUGGCUAACCGCGAUGACAUCAUUGCCGCGGUUGUCAGUGGGCCCAUGACACAUAAAACCAAUGCCCCACCACCCAAGAGAAAACGGAAACUGGACCCGCCGCCAGAAGAACCCCCCUGGGCUGACCGCUGCCGCUACAAAGUUCGCUGGCAACCAACCCUCACCACGAACGGUAUACUCAGCGCCUAUAAGAUACAGAACUACGACGCCAUCAACGCCACAAAACCCUCAUGUAUGCUAUGGGGACAGGGCAUCCGCCGGUUUAUGGCCCAGGUGCACUGGGCCGACACGGAAGACCCGCUCUCCUCCCUCUCACAGAACCCCGGCUGGGCGGCCGCCCUGGCACGGUACACCCUUGCCCAAGCUGAAGCACCCCCCGACCCCACCCCACCCCCUGCGCUUGAUACCCACCUCACCAGCAAGCAGCGCCAGGGCCGGUGGCGGGACCCAGCACCCAGCAUGGCCGCACGAAAACGUGCCACUCUCCGGUGCUGCACCAUUGACACCAACUCCUGCAACCCCGACACAGACAUUCAUCCGACAGGUCAGUAUUGUAUCCAGUUGGGCACACGAACACCCGGUCUAGCCGCCGGCACGGCGACCGACCCUGACCCUACCGCCAGAGUAUACGGACCCGACGGCCGAUGCGUUGGAUCCAUCUCGGCUACUCGCCUCGCCCUCCUCCACGCCCGCUAUAGGGCGCUCAACCCCACCCAACCCCCGAAAGCAUUCGCCGCCGCCGUAGCCUCCCUGCUCACACGAUAUCGCCCCAGUAAACGCCACAAAGAGAGCUCCACCAACCCAGCGCACGAGGUCACCCUCUGUCCAGACCUAAUGUCCACCCUUACCUCCCAUCUUAAGUUCACAACAGAAGCAUUUGCCUCCCCCCUCAACGCUACCGGCAACAUACCGGCCUACUACACGGCACACCCCGAGGACGCAGUGUUCGGGGCCGCCCUCGACUGCUACAGCCGACUCCUACACGAUGUGUCAUUCCUCCACCCACCACCACAGCCCGAACAAACCAACCUGGCAAUGGCCUGGGCGGUCGCCAGCGCUGAGGCAGCGGCAGCGCAAGCUCCACAUUUGUCAGUCGUGGUCGUGCCGUAUGGCGAAACCAGUGGUUACACGGCCUGGCUCCAGCACCCACUGGUCCACGCCCUGGGACAUAUCCGACCGGCACACACGUGGGCCGCCAUGGCCUCCGGCCUAGGUCAGCCGCUGGAGCUCCCCGCCCACCGGCGCGGACUCCAUCUCCUGUGUGUGGCAAACGAGCCCGGCCGGUUAAUUCUCAACACGGCCCUGGGGAAUGGACUAGCGGCGGCGCUGUCUGGCGCCCUUGGACACACUCCACAGCCUGCCGCCCGCAAGCCCUUGCCGAACCCAGACGCACCUAAACCGUGGCCCAAAACCCCUCGGAAGCUGGAGCGUCGCCUCCGCACCCACACCACCCCGACACCCCUACCACAGCCCCCCCCGGCCGCCCCCACACCCCCAACCCCCACGGAGCUCGCAGCCCUCUACCCCAUAACCAUUCCUCUCGCACACACGUGUGGCUCCGCCGUCUUCACCGACGGGAGCAAGGUCCCACACUCGAGCGACUACACAGGCCUGGGAGCAGCGAUCUGGGACGAAACUGAAAACCGCACGACGCAUAUAGAUGAAGAUAUCGCUUUUGACACUCCCCUUAGCACUAUUCUCAGAUGCGAGUCGUCGGCUAUACGCAUGGCACUUAGCCUCAACCUUGACUUGCCCCACCUGCGGAUUUACACCGACAGCCUUGUCAGCCUGCUUAUCCUUCGCCGUGCCAUUCUGGAGCCCGAGUCGCUACACGUCAGCAAACAUCGCGAAAUGUUCGGGGCCAUCACUGACAUACUGGCCCAACGUGGGUUGGCAGGUCUGAAGACAUACUUCUAUCACGUCCGUUCACACCAAGCAGAUACGUGCGUAGGAAAUCAGAAAGCCGAUGAGGCGGCACAGGCAGUGGCGACUAGAGAAACCCCGCCGGACGCGGUGGAGACCUUGUACUCGCACCCGUUCGAGACACUAGAGGGCUGGAUUGCUAAGAGAGAAACUGUUGAGCACAAUGGCAACGUAGAGGAACGGUUACGAUACGCCAACGACCUCAAUCGCGACCUGAAGAAAAUGGCCCGGCCCUCCACGGCCCAGGGAUACACAAAAACAGGCUUAUACGCAGAACUGUGGGACGCUACCAGGCAGCACAUUGACGCUAGAUAUGGACUAAACCUGUUCGAUGGCUUCCCGUUCGAAGAAGCACGCUGUGCCUUCAAAUACCGAUGGGGGCUCUCCUGGAACGCCAAGCGCGCCGCCCGUGUAAAACACCCCAUACCCGGCUGCGCGGGGGGCGAAUGCCCGCUGUGCCGAUGCGACGACGGUGGCACGCACACCCUGGGCGGCUGCACCCACCGGCGUAUGAAAGCCGCGUACAUCGCGAGGCACAACCGCGCCGUUCAACGGAUCGCGAAGGCAGUAAGUCAAGGGCAGAACGGCGGAUGCGUUAUGUACAUGGAUGCAGGAAAGGACGCCCCCGCUUACAGUGGGGGAACACGCAUACCCGCAUGGGUGCUGCCAGGCACGCCAGAGAGCGUGCGACUACGAUUUCGCCCGGACCUGCUGGUCGUCCCCUCCUUACGCAUGACCCGAUCUGGGCAGCCUACUAAUAUGCCUCGCACGCGACUCCAGAGAAGCGCGCAUAAAGUCUACGUAAUAGAAGUGGGCUACUGCUCUGACCUCAAUCACCUGGACAAAAGGGCAGAAAAACUGCAACAACAUGACGACCUUGCCACCGCACUCCGCACCGCCGGAUGGGACGUGAUACACAACCAGGACACAAUCAUCAGCCUCGGACAUACCGGCACCGUUACCACCCACCUCCAUGCCCUGCUUAACACGCUCGGAUGCUCAACACAAUCUGCGCACCGCACCUGCCAAAAGCUUGUCCAGCACGCUGUUCACACGACUACCGCCAUUACAGCUCUUCGCCGGGAACUCUGCAGUCACCCAUGGCCAGGACGCCCACCUUAGCACAGUACGCCCCGUUGUGAGAGUGGGACCAGGCCCAGCGCGCCUAGGCGCGCUGCCAGCCUCCCCACUCUCCUUGGGGGACAGGGGCCCAGUGGCGGAGACCACUAAUGUGGUGGUCUCUCAUGCCCUCACGCCUCUACCUCCUCAGAACACGCCCUGUCACGCAGGGAGUACCAUUAUUAUUAUUAUUACCAUCUACAAGAUACCGGUACGGUACUGCACCGGGUGCCGUCCGGGGCGGGCGGCUACCUUUCUGCACAGACAAUGUUUGAGGGUACCAAUCUUCCAAAAGGUCCGUUUUCGGGGGGCUGGUUGGGGGUGGAGCUCCCAAAACCCCUUCAAACGGCACAUUUUGGGCCCAGGGGCGCCGUAUGAAACAAAGAUUGAGGGAGUACGGCUUCUUUCGGCCGGAAAUCGGCCACCCCCAGCAAGUAAGGUACGAGCCGCUACGAGCCCUGAGUUGAGGAUGUCGAAGACCCGCGGCUUAGGGCUUGCACUUCGGGGAGCGGCAACAAACGGGCCCCAAUGCAGUGCUCGUAUCUUGUAGAUGCCCUCAGGCACCCGGCAUCUACACAUGCGUAGAUGACCCUGACCGCGGCAUCUACACUUAAGCCCCAAGCCCCCCAAAACGUCUACGCUUCCUGUUGAAGUUAGGGCAGCGGACUUAGCGGGAUUGCGGCCUGCCCCCUCCCCCAUGCAUGACGGUGCAAUGGUCUAAGGAGCGUAUAGGGCCGAGAGCAAGCCCGGCCUGGACUAAGUCACACGUUAGGAGAGUACAAGCGAGAGGCUACAUGGACACGAUGCGACUGUGCACCACUGUACCUAAGCGACUCAACCUGGUGACCCUAGUCUCAAUGACCCAACGACCCUACUAGACAACACUGUCAGCUAGCUCUAACAGCAGUAUUUACAACAGGUUAUGAGCCCCGCCUCGUGCGGUGGCGUAGAAUCUCGAUAUGUAGCGCAAAUUCUGUCACGUUUCGCGUGAUGGUUGGCAUAACCAGCCCCAAAGCCUGCAAAGCUUCGUUGGCGGGUUGGAGGAAGCCCUCAGAAUAAGUAUCAUUACUUCCUCGUGAGCUCUAGAGGAACUACGGAGGAUUCCAACGCUUGGAGAACAUUCCGCUCGUCUACCACAAGACGACUGGGCAAGGAUCUUCGGCAUGGCUCAACUGGAGUAUAGUGUCAAAUCUUGAGAGACUUGCCGGCGCGGCCAAAUGGACGCGGGGGAGCUCGUGCGACUGUCUCAGUACGCAACUUCAUGGGGCGGUGGGCGCCCUGCCCAUCCAGCACGACCGUGAGUACGGCUGCGGCAGUCAGCUAUGGCGAUAGCAAGCACAUCAGCAAGGCACUGAGCUUGAGCAGGGCACUUACUUGCUUAUGUUUGGUGGCUGAGCGGGGCCGUAAAGCAGAGGUGUUGCCCGUGUCAGAGGUUGGCAGGGGCUUGCUGGUAUCAGUCGGUAACGUGGCUGAGACUGAGUGCUGCUCGAGGGGGGGGUAUUGAGACUGAACGAUCAGCACUCAUGGUGUGCGUGUCAAGGUCUUAACUGCUGCACGCUCAGCUAGGAUAUAAGGUCCCACAGCAUGGGGGACAGAUGACAUCCGGUUGCAUCCUUGCAGCAUGGAAGCUAAACCCCCUUCUCGAUAGUGGUGACAAGAAAUUGAACAGCAGUUCGGGGUGUGUCAACGAAGUGUGCUGACGUCUUGGUAUGUGGCUGCGCAGUGUCUGAGGUACAAGACCACAUGCGUUUGUGUUGACGGAGUCUGAGUGCCGCUGUGUAGUCCAGGGCCUCAAGCUGGCGCUGCGGGCUGGUAACUGCGUGUACCGUAUGCCCUUUGAUACCGGUAGUGGUUGCUUUCCUGGUAUUUUAGGUAUGCAAGGGUAUAUUAUUGUGUCAUCUGGACGGUAGUGACAGCUACACCCGGUCGCUUGGUCCAACCGACCGCUUGUGGGAUCGGGGCCUAGAGUGCAGUUUCAUGCCCGAAUGCCUCACCAGCGUCUGAUCAACCUGGUGUGCGCUGGGGCGGUGAGCGGUCUGGAUCCGUAAUCCGUAUACCUGUGGCGUGACACUGCUAGUGACGGUGUUGAUGGUGUGUUGGGAAACGGGGGAGCUGCCUAAAGCAGUCGACGGGAGGCUUUGUGCUGGGUGCCAUGAAGAGGCACAUGUUGCAGUACUCAAGUAGAGAGUGUGGUUGAUGCAGUCUAGCUCUGUUCCGCAACCCAAGUACACGCAGUGGUGCCUGUGGUGAUACGUGAGAGAGCUUCUGUGCGUAUUGAGAUUGGAGCGGAUGCGCCGCUUCGCAGGUAGUUGGUGAUGAGGCAGCGGGCUAUUGUAGCUGCAACCGGACUUGCAACCAACAGUAAUUGGAAUCUUGGGAAGUGUCUAAUGCUCUGGUGAAAGCGUAUGCGCUCUGUAAGGAGCGGGUGUUCUUUAAGCUUGAGGCAAGUUGUAGCGCGGCUAUCCAGAGUGCCGGCUGUAAGCUAGGGAAGCAAGUCACUUAACCCCAAGCGAGCGAUGGAGUGCCGCUCACGGGGGAGUGCCGUAUGAUAUUCGGCACCCACAUGGAGGCAAUGGAGGACAACAAGGGGAACCGAAUGUACAGUAGCGCUUGCCCUUGGUUGUUUACUCGAGCUUGGCAUGGAGCAUGCGGGAGCUGGCGAUUGUCGGAGAGGGGUUCUUGAGUGUUGUUCAUGGCGCAAGUGAGACACCGCCAACUUGACUGCGGAUGAAGACAUGAUUGCGUAUGCGCAGACGUGCGCUUAGCGUGAUAGGACUUGGUGACUGAAGCAAGCGGGUGUUACGCAGGGGCCAAUGCGGGAACGCCGUGACUAGUAUGAGGCGUACGUUAGCGCAUGCUAAAUUAGAAUCUGCGCGCUUCGGCGGCAACCUAGGACAGCGACGCGCGUAGCGUGCUGAGGAGGCCUCAAGCGAUGCUACUGCUUGGAGGAGUGUUGCGCUUGCGCGUGAACACGUUUAGUACGAGACAGUGAUCACGAGACAGUGGUUCACACGGCAGCGUUCGUGCGUGCAGCGGAGACUGCAGCAAACGCUUCGCAUCAUGAGUGUACACAUGGUGGCGAACGAUGGCGCGGAAAACGGUAUGUGCUGCAUACUGAGGUGGCUUCAGACGUGGAAGUGCUGAAGGCUAGAACUAGUCAAUUUAGAACGUACGGUUGUCACUGGUUGUCGGUUGAGUUACCGAGUUAGGGGCCAGGUAGGCGUGGAAGACCUUCCUGGGUGUUGCUGGUCCAUUCAUUGUGUUAGGACAUUCAUGCUCAGGUUUCGGUUGAAACUGGUUUGUUGCUACAGUAUGUUUCGACGUGGCGGUAGCGUUGCGAACUACUGACGUUUGUUACUCAUGCGGGUGAGUGUCAGUCCGCGGGGGAGUGUUGAAGUUAGGGCAGCGGACUUAGCGGGAUUGCGGCCUGCCCCCUCCCCCAUGCAUGACGGUGCAAUGGUCUAAGGAGCGUAUAGGGCCGAGAGCAAGCCCGGCCUGGACUAAGUCACACGUUAGGAGAGUACAAGCGAGAGGCUACAUGGACACGAUGCGACUGUGCACCACUGUACCUAAGCGACUCAACCUGGUGACCCUAGUCUCAAUGACCCAACGACCCUACUAGACAACACUGUCAGCUAGCUCUAACAGCAGUAUUUACAACAC
This 23081-nucleotide long non-coding RNA is filed under the name Chlamydomonas reinhardtii. Its description in RNAcentral is "long non-coding RNA (CREI_LNC000265)". The record is from RNAcentral. Lineage: Eukaryota; Viridiplantae; Chlorophyta; Chlorophyceae; Chlamydomonadales; Chlamydomonadaceae.